Molecule: ribosomal RNA, 361 nt
Filed under: Acanthodactylus boskianus (Bosk's fringe-fingered lizard)
Lineage: Eukaryota; Metazoa; Chordata; Lepidosauria; Squamata; Lacertidae
Description: partial small subunit ribosomal RNA
Rfam family: Bacterial small subunit ribosomal RNA
Source: RNAcentral
CCGCCAGAGAACUACUAGUGAAAAACUUUAAACUCAAAGGACUUGGCGGUGUCCCAUUUCGGCCUAGAGGAGCCUGUCCUAUAAUCGACACCCCCCGUUCCACCCAACCUCCACUUGCACAUUCAGCCUAUAUACCGCCGUCGACAGUCUACCCCAUGAGGGUCUAUUAGUAGACACAAAAGCAAUAACUCGCUAACACGUCAGGUCAAGGUGUAGCAAAUGUUGAGGAAGAGAUUGGCUACAUUUUUUAUUUUAAAACAAACGAAAUGCAACAUGAAACAUUGCACGAAGGCGAAUUUAGCAGUAAAAUGAACAAGAGAGUUCAUUUUAACACCGCUCUGGGACGCGCACACACCGCCCG